GGACGAACGCUGGCGGCGUGCUUAACACAUGCAAGUCGAGCGGUAAGGCCCUUUCGGGGUACGACGAGCGGCGAACGGGUGAGUAACACGUGGGUGACCUGCCCUCAGCUCUGGGAUAAGCCUGGGAAACCGGGUCUAAUACCGGAUAUGACUCCAUGACGCAUGUUGUGGGGUGGAAAGCCUUGUGCGGCUGAGGAUGGGCCCGCGGCCUAUCAGCUUGUUGGUGGGGUGAGGCCUACCAAGGCGACGACGGGUAGCCGCCUGAGAGGGCGACCGGCCACAC
RNAcentral lists this ribosomal RNA (283 nucleotides) under uncultured bacterium. Its description in RNAcentral is "partial 16S ribosomal RNA". It matches the Rfam family "Bacterial small subunit ribosomal RNA", at positions 27 to 313 of the family's 1533-position model. The record is from RNAcentral.